CAGACACGACAGGAGCAGCUGGAGCUGAG
RNAcentral lists this small RNA (29 nucleotides) under Bombyx mori (domestic silkworm). Its description in RNAcentral is "ovarian small RNA-4692". The record is from RNAcentral. Lineage: Eukaryota; Metazoa; Arthropoda; Insecta; Lepidoptera; Bombycidae.